This 520-nucleotide ribosomal RNA is filed under the name uncultured bacterium. RNAcentral describes it as "bacterial SSU rRNA". It matches the Rfam family "Bacterial small subunit ribosomal RNA", at positions 120 to 674 of the family's 1533-position model. The record is from RNAcentral.
GGGAAUCUGCCCUUGGGUUCGGAAUAACUCGCCGAAAGGCGUGCUAAUACCGGAUGAUGACGUAAGUCCAAAGAUUUAUCGCCCAAGGAUGAGCCCGCGUAGGAUUAGCUAGUUGGUAAGGUAAAAGCUUACCAAGGCGACGAUCCUUAGCUGGUCUGAGAGGAUGAUCAGCCACACUGGGACUGAGACACGGCCCAGACUCCUACGGGAGGCAGCAGUGGGGAAUAUUGGACAAUGGGCGAAAGCCUGAUCCAGCAAUGCCGCGUGAGUGAUGAAGGCCUUAGGGUUGUAAAGCUCUUUUACCCGGGAUGAUAAUGACAGUACCGGGAGAAUAAGCUCCGGCUAACUCCGUGCCAGCAGCCGCGGUAAUACGGAGGGAGCUAGCGUUGUUCGGAAUUACUGGGCGUAAAGCGCACGUAGGCGGCUUUGUAAGUUAGAGGUGAAAGCCUGGAGCUCAACUCCAGAAUUGCCUUUAAGACUGCAUCGCUUGAAUCCAGGAGAGGUGAGUGGAAUUCCGAGU